GACGAACGCUGGCGGCGUGCUUAACACAUGCAAGUCGAACGGGAGUAUUGAAGAAGCUUGCUUUAGAGAUACUUUAGUGGCGGACGGGUGAGUAACGCGUGAGGAGCUGUCCUAUGCAGGGGGACAACAGCUGGAAACGGCUGCUAAUACCCCAUAAGCCGAGAGGUAAAAGGAUCAAUCCGGCAGAGGAGGUACUCGCGUCCUAUCAGCUAGUAGGUGAGGUAACGGCUCACCUAGGCGAAGACGGGUAGCCGGCCUGAGAGGGCGAACGGCCACACUGGAACUGAGAUACGGCCCAGACUCCUACGGGGGGCAGCAAUUAGGAAUCUUGCGCAAUGGGCGAAAGCCUGACGCAGCAACGCCGCGUGACUGAUGAAGUCUUUCGGGAUGUAAAGGUCUUUUCUGAAGGAAGAAACAAAUGACGGUACUUCAGGAAUAAGCCCCGGCUAACUACGUG
RNAcentral lists this ribosomal RNA (457 nucleotides) under uncultured bacterium. RNAcentral's name for it is "bacterial SSU rRNA". It matches the Rfam family "Bacterial small subunit ribosomal RNA", at positions 28 to 507 of the family's 1533-position model. The record is from RNAcentral.